UCCGAUGGUGAACCUGCGGAGGGAUCAUUACAGAGUUCUAAAAGACUCCCAAAACCAUUGUGAACGUACCCGUCAGCGUUGCCUCGGCGGGCGGCCCCUCCCUGGGGCCGCUGCCUCCCUCGGGGGGUGCCCGCCGGCGUACCAAAACUCUUUUGUAUUUUAGUGGCCUCUCUGAGAAAACAAGCAAAUAAGUUAAAACUUUCAACAACGGAUCUCUUGGUUCUGGCAUCGAUGAAGAACGCAGCGAAAUGCGAUAAGUAAUGUGAAUUGCAGAAUUCAGUGAAUCAUCGAAUCUUUGAACGCACAUUGCGCCCGCCAGUACUCUGGCGGGCAUGCCUGUUCGAGCGUCAUUUCAACCCUCAAGCCCUGCUUGGUGUUGGGGUCCUACGGCUGCCGUAGGCCCUGAAAGCUAGUGGCGGGCUCGCUAUAACUCCGAGCGUAGUAGUAAAAUAUCUCGCUAGGGAGGUGUCGCGGGUUCCGGCCGUGAAAGCCCAUCUUUUACACAAGGUUGACCUCGGAUCA
RNAcentral lists this ribosomal RNA (522 nucleotides) under Fimetariella rabenhorstii. RNAcentral describes it as "eukaryotic LSU rRNA". The stretch from base 197 to 350 matches the Rfam family "5.8S ribosomal RNA". The record is from RNAcentral. Lineage: Eukaryota; Fungi; Ascomycota; Sordariomycetes; Sordariales; Lasiosphaeriaceae.